GCGCCGGCCGCGUCCCGCCCGCUCCCCGGCACCAGAAGUUCCUCUGCGCGUCCGACGGCGACAUGGGCGUCCCCACGGCCCUGGAGGCCGGCAGCUGGCGCUGGGGAUCCCUGCUCUUCGCUCUCUUCCUGGCUGCGUCCCUAGCCAGGCGUGGUGGCGGGUGCCUGUAGUCCCAGCUACUCGGGAGGCUGAGGCAGGAGAGUUGCUUCAACCUGGGAGGCGGAGGUUGCAGUGAGCUGAGAUUGCACCACUGAACUCCAGCCUGGGCAACAGAGCGAGACUCCAUCUCAAACAACAACAACAACAACAACAGCAACAAAGCCAACCAAACAAACAAGCACUUAGAAUGAUGCCUGGCACAGAGUAGUAGGGGGCAAAAAGACUUGAGCUGGACCCUGAGGACGUCUUCACAGCAUAGAAGCGUGAGGGUGGCUGGCUGGAGCCGGGAGCCUGAGCUGCACACAGUCCUCCUCCAAAAGGGCCUGGGGAGUCUGGGAGGGGUUCAUCCACAGAAGCAUCCACGGGCCGGGACCUCUGGCCAGCUGCCUAGGCCCUCCCUGGGGAGGCAUGCUAGCCUCCAGCUCCAGCCCCGGAUGCACGGAGGCUUUCCCAAGGUGCUGGAAGUGCCGCUUCCUUCAAUAGAGCCUGGCUUCCCCUUCCCAGCCCCCUUGGUCUGAUGUGAAUGGACACUUCCUGCGGGGGCAGGUAUCAAUAAACACAUCUGAG
Molecule: long non-coding RNA, 726 nt
Filed under: Homo sapiens (human)
Lineage: Eukaryota; Metazoa; Chordata; Mammalia; Primates; Hominidae
Description: HSALNT0164156
Source: RNAcentral